UACGGAGGAUCCGAGCGUUAUCCGGAUUUAUUGGGUUUAAAGGGUGCGCAGGCGGGAGAUUAAGUCAGCGGUGAAAUUUUGGAGCUCAACUGUAAAAGUGCCUUCGAAACUUGUUUCCUUGAGUGUGGAUGAAGUAGGCGGAAUUUGUGGUGUAGCGGUGAAAUGCAUAGAUAUCACGAGGAACUCCGAUUGCGCAGGCAGCUUACUAAACCACUACUGACGCUCAUGCACGAAGGCGUGGGGAUCAAACAGG
RNAcentral lists this ribosomal RNA (253 nucleotides) under uncultured Petrimonas sp. RNAcentral describes it as "partial 16S ribosomal RNA". It matches the Rfam family "Bacterial small subunit ribosomal RNA", at positions 524 to 776 of the family's 1533-position model. The record is from RNAcentral. Lineage: Bacteria; Pseudomonadati; Bacteroidota; Bacteroidia; Bacteroidales; Dysgonomonadaceae.